CUAUACAUGCAGUCGAACGCUUCUUUUUCCACCGGAGCUUGCUCCACCGGAAAAAGAGGAGUGGCGAACGGGUGAGUAACACGUGGGUAACCUGCCCAUCAGAAGGGGAUAACACUUGGAAACAGGUGCUAAUACCGUAUAACAAUCAAAACCGCAUGGUUUUGAUUUGAAAGGCGCUUUCGGGUGUCGCUGAUGGAUGGACCCGCGGUGCAUUAGCUAGUUGGUGAGGUAACGGCUCACCAAGGCCACGAUGCAUAGCCGACCUGAGAGGGUGAUCGGCCACAUUGGGACUGAGACACGGCCCAAACUCCUACGGGAGGCAGCAGUAGGGAAUCUUCGGCAAUGGACGAAAGUCUGACCGAGCAACGCCGCGUGAGUGAAGAAGGUUUUCGGAUCGUAAAACUCUGUUGUUAGAGAAGAACAAGGAUGAGAGUAACUGUUCAUCCCUUGACGGUAUCUAACCAGAAAGCCACGGCUAACUACGUGCCAGCAGCCGCGGUAAUACGUAGGUGGCAAGCGUUGUCCGGAUUUAUUGGGCGUAAAGCGAGCGCAGGCGGUUUCUUAAGUCUGAUGUGAAAGCCCCCGGCUCAACCGGGGAGGGUCAUUGGAAACUGGGAGACUUGAGUGCAGAAGAGGAGAGUGGAAUUCCAUGUGUAGCGGUGAAAUGCGUAGAUAUAUGGAGGAACACCAGUGGCGAAGGCGGCUCUCUGGUCUGUAACUGACGCUGAGGCUCGAAAGCGUGGGGAGCAAACAGGAUUAGAUACCCUGGUAGUCCACGCCGUAAACGAUGAGUGCUAAGUGUUGGAGGGUUUCCGCCCUUCAGUGCUGCAGCUAACGCAUUAAGCACUCCGCCUGGGGAGUACGACCGCAAGGUUGAAACUCAAAGGAAUUGACGGGGGCCCGCACAAGCGGUGGAGCAUGUGGUUUAAUUCGAAGCAACGCGAAGAACCUUACCAGGUCUUGACAUCCUUUGACCACUCUAGAGAUAGAGCUUCCCCUUCGGGGGCAAAGUGACAGGU
This 1019-nucleotide ribosomal RNA is filed under the name Enterococcus faecium. RNAcentral describes it as "bacterial SSU rRNA". It matches the Rfam family "Bacterial small subunit ribosomal RNA", at positions 49 to 1039 of the family's 1533-position model. The record is from RNAcentral. Lineage: Bacteria; Bacillati; Bacillota; Bacilli; Lactobacillales; Enterococcaceae.